UAUGGCAGAUUAGUGCAAUGAAUUUAAGUUUCAUGAAUAAAGCCAAGCUUUUUUUAGAAA
Molecule: transfer RNA, 60 nt
Filed under: Calathus montivagus
Lineage: Eukaryota; Metazoa; Arthropoda; Insecta; Coleoptera; Carabidae
Description: tRNA-Leu
Source: RNAcentral